AUGGCGAUGGCGGGCGGCGGGGGACUGAACCGGUCCUCAUCGCGGGGGCAGCUGCCGCCGCAGGAGCUCCUCGACGAUCUCUGCAGCCGGUUCGUGCUGAACGUGCCCAAGGAGGACCUGGAGUCGUUCGAGCGGAUCCUGUUCCUGCUGGAGCAGGCGCACUGGUUCUACGAGGACAACUCCGUGGAGCACAACCCCUCCCUCAAGUCCCUCUCCUUCAAGGACUUCACCUCCCUAAUGUUCAACAGCUGCGCCGCUCUCAGGCCCUACCGCGCGCACCUCGACGACAUCUACAAGGACUUCACGCACUACAAGUUCCGGGUCCCCGUCUCCGGCGCCAUCAUCCUCGAUGACAACUAUGACAGGUGCUUACUUGUGAAAGGAUGGAAGUCUAGUGCCAGCUGGAGUUUCCCCCGUGGAAAGAGGAGCAAAGAUGAAGAGGAUCAUACUUGUGCAGUUAGAGAAGUUCUGGAGGAGACUGGGUGUGAUGUUUCUAAGCUGUUGAAAAUGGAUGACCACAUUGAAGUUUCAAUUGGACAACAGAGAGUUCGACUCUAUAUUAUUACGGGUGUUAAGGAAGAUACUGUUUUUGCUCCUCAAACUAAGAAAGAAAUCAGUGAGAUCUCAUGGCACAGAAUUGAUGAUCUUCUACCUGCUAGUGAUGAUGCAAUAUCUCGUGGAGUGAAUGGGAUGAAGCUUUAUAUGGUUGCACCAUUUUUGAUGGGUCUAAAAUCAUGGAUAGGCACACAUCGGUCCCAAGUAUAUCAGAAGUCAGAUACAUCUGCUAGAGGUACUGUGUGGAAAGCGAAGAAUCCCUCGGGUGUCUUUGUGCCUGUCGAGAACCCUGUUAUUACUAGAGCAGGAUCUGACACACAGAACCCUGUAAUUACUAGAGCAGGAUCUGGCACGCAGCACGUCGACAACCGCCCUGGCAAAAGCUUCAGAAGCUUCAGAUUCGAUACGGCCAGUAUCCUGCAGUCCAUGGAAGCUUCCUUUCUGCAUACCUAG
RNAcentral lists this ribosomal RNA (1008 nucleotides) under Triticum aestivum (bread wheat). Its description in RNAcentral is "partial small subunit ribosomal RNA". The record is from RNAcentral. Lineage: Eukaryota; Viridiplantae; Streptophyta; Magnoliopsida; Poales; Poaceae.